This is a non-coding RNA of Elaeis guineensis (African oil palm), 1192 nucleotides long. The record is from RefSeq and is a predicted model, not a curated record. NCBI's taxonomy places the organism in Eukaryota, Viridiplantae, Streptophyta, Magnoliopsida, Arecales, Arecaceae.
UCCGAGCGGAAGCGGUAAUAUCACCGCUAGCUCCUUGUUCUUUUCUUGCUUCUUUCGUCUGCGUCUUUGAAGCUUCGCGAGAGAGAGGAAGAGAGAAGAGGGGGAAUUAGAAUUACUCGAUCGGAGAAGAAUGGGGCUGCAGUGGAUGAUCCUGUCGUGGGUGGUGGCGGCAGAGGCGGCGGCGGCGGUUCUGGUGACCCUCCCGGCCCCGAGGCUCAUCAAGUCUCGGAUCGUCGCCCUCGCCUCCCUCGCCCUCCAGCCCCUUGGCGGCGUCAUCCCCUUCGCCGCCUUCCAGCUCUUGGAUCUUCACUGGAAAAGCGAGCACCGACUGAUCUGCGCCGGCGACGUCUGCACCACGGACGAGAGGAUCCGAUACGAGAAGUCUAUUUUCAAAGCUCAAAGGAAUGUUAUUCUGUGUGUUUCGGCAUGUCUCCUUUAUUGGUGUAUCUACCGUGUUUGCAAAUACCAUAAGGAGAUAAAGGAACUGGAAGAAGUUGAGAAGCGUCUCAAAGAGCAGUAGCUUUUAUAAUCAGAUCAAUAACUGUUAAUCUAUCUAGAGGGGUUACUUUUGGAGGUGGAAUUUGGGUAUGUUUUGAUAAAGAUUCAAGACUCUUGAGAUGUUAGGUAGAGGGUUGGAACCGGGCACACUAUGUUCGGGUUUGUGUUCAGUAAGUUCUGUGCGGGUGAAGAGACAGGAGGCUGGAGCUGAGGUGUGUAGAGGGGCAAAGCUGGUGGAAUUCUCGGGGUGGAUUAAUAAGCAGAUGGUAGAUUACGGAGAGAGGUGAAGAGAGGCUGUUUGUUGAUACAUGUGAAACUGGCAGGGCUCUCAUUGAGAUUCUGUUAACAAUCAUCCAUAUGGUAGAUGUUAACAAUCAGUUAGAAGAUUUGAGCAUCACGAUUAAAUGAAUUUUCCAGAUAGUAAGAGCUAAUGAAGAUGUGUUCACUUGCUAUUUUCUGAAGUCGAAGUAGUUAGUCUUUCUUAGAAUAUAGACCCUAUCCCUGAUUGUGUAGUGCUUCCUUAGCAUAUUAUACAAAAUUGGUCAAUAUUCAACAGCAUGGUUUGAACUUUGAAGAGUGGAUCUUGCUUCGUCAUGCCCUGGACUGGGUUAACAUAGAUGAGAUCAAUUCUACGCUUGGAGUCUUCUAAACUUAUUUUGUGAGAAUGGAUAGCUGCGGUAUAUGUUUGAUUUUA